GUGCAUUGGUAGCACAUAUCCUAAAAUUGGAACAAUACAGAGACCAUUAGCAUGACUCCUGUGCAAGGAUAACAUGCUAAUUCACGAAAUAUUCUAUAUUCUA
Zalophus californianus (California sea lion) is the source of this 103-nucleotide small nuclear RNA. The record is from Ensembl. NCBI's taxonomy places the organism in Eukaryota, Metazoa, Chordata, Mammalia, Carnivora, Otariidae.